This 542-nucleotide long non-coding RNA is filed under the name Equus asinus (donkey). RNAcentral describes it as "lncRNA (ENSEASG00005036595.1)". The record is from RNAcentral. Lineage: Eukaryota; Metazoa; Chordata; Mammalia; Perissodactyla; Equidae.
AUUGUCCCUGCGAGAGUCCUCCAGGACCGUUGGGCGCGGUUGGCACCUCGGCCCUCGAGACGGCGGGAACCGGGACUCGGGCUCUGAACCCGAGUGGUGACCGAGGAGGCGGGCCCGGCUCUCCCGGUUGCACGCGGCUGGGUGGACGCCCGCGCGGGGCUCAAGCACGCGGGUUCCCGACUCCGACCCGCGGGGGGUCGGUACUGAAGGAUUUAUUUCAUAGGUUUGGAUGAGAGACCUCAUGUGGGCUUCAGGUCCUCAUCUUCAUGAGAAUUGGGACUGGACCCCCAGCAGCGAGGAGCCUUGAAGGCUGGAGAGAAAGAGUUUCCAUCAUGGAUCUCUCCUGAGGGAAUAGUCCAGAUUUCCUGAGUCGUUUCCAGGUCGAGGUCCUGUAUGCCUCUUCUGUUCUCAGGACCAGUUCCUGUCAGAGUGGGAAGACCUGAUCUUGGAUAUUUGGUUUUGCUCCUUUGUGAAAAGCUGUAAAGACAAUUUUCCACCCCUAGCUGUAAAGAACUCUUGGUGGGAAAUUAUAAUUCCUUUAG